Molecule: ribosomal RNA, 300 nt
Filed under: Triticum aestivum (bread wheat)
Lineage: Eukaryota; Viridiplantae; Streptophyta; Magnoliopsida; Poales; Poaceae
Description: partial small subunit ribosomal RNA
Source: RNAcentral
AUGAGGGGAUCACUAAAAGGAAUCAAGGUAUGUAGGGGAGCCCCUAGUGUAAGCCAUUUGUUCUUUGCGGUUGAUUCAUUACUUCUAUUGGAGGCCAGUGCUGAAAGUGCUCGGGAAAUUAGUAGAAUUCUAAAUCUUUAUGAAGCUGCUUCAAGCCAUGUGAUUAAUAAAGAUAAAUCCUCAAUAUUGUUCAGUGCAAACACAAGGCAAGUGUUGAAGGACAAAAAUGAGAAGUAUUCUGCAAGUUACCUCGCAAGGUCUAUCCCCAAGAUAUCUUGGUGUUCCAUCCUAUGUGGGUAA